Molecule: ribosomal RNA, 301 nt
Filed under: uncultured bacterium
Lineage: Bacteria
Description: partial 16S ribosomal RNA
Rfam family: Bacterial small subunit ribosomal RNA
Source: RNAcentral
CAGCAGCCGCGGUAAAACGGAGGGUGCAAGCGUUAAUCGGAAUUACUGGGCGUAAAGCGUGCGCAGGCGGUUUGUUAAGACAGAUGUGAAAUCCCCGGGCUUAACCUGGGAACUGCAUUUGUGACUGGCAAGCUAGAGUAUGGCAGAGGGGGGUGGAAUUCCGCGUGUAGCAGUGAAAUGCGUAGAUAUGCGGAGGAACACCGAUGGCGAAGGCAGCCCCCUGGGCCAAUACUGACGCUCAUGCACGAAAGCGUGGGGAGCAAACAGGAUUAGAUACCCCUGUAGUCCCUGUCUCUUAUAC